RNAcentral lists this unclassified non-coding RNA (357 nucleotides) under soil metagenome. Its description in RNAcentral is "partial contains 5.8S ribosomal RNA, internal transcribed spacer 2, and large subunit ribosomal RNA". The stretch from base 1 to 120 matches the Rfam family "5.8S ribosomal RNA", at positions 35 to 154 of the family's 154-position model. The record is from RNAcentral.
GAUGAAGAACGUAGCGAAAUGCGAUAAGUAAUGUGAAUUGCAGAAUUCAGUGAAUCAUCGAAUCUUUGAACGCACAUUGCGCCCGCCAGUAUUCUGGCGGGCAUGCCUGUCCGAGCGUCAUUUCAACCCUCGGGAGCCCCUUUGCGGGGGCUGCCGGUGUUGGGGAUCGCCCGCCUCCCAAGGCGGUCGUCCCCUAAAGUGAUUGGCGGUCUCGCUGUAGCCCUCCUCCGCGUAGUAGCACAACCUCGCGGCCUGGAGCUCGGCGGUGGCCAUGCCGUAAAACACCCCACUUCUGAAAGUUGACCUCGGAUCAGGUAGGAAUACCCGCUGAACUUAAGCAUAUCAAUAAGCGGAGGA